GUGAAUCAUCGAAUCUUUGAACGCAAAUUGCACUCUCUUGUGUGAGUAUGCCUGUUUGAGGGUCAGCCUCAGAAAAAUCCACAUAGUCUCUGUUUCGCGGUGACAUUCGUCGGAAAUUGGGUCAUCUUAAACCUUUUGGUUUUAAGUGGCUUAUAAUUGUCUUUACGAGUCUACGACCGUUACUAAUAUUUACUUACACGUUUUCGGUAUCGAUUUUUAUUAUACGUGGCUGUUGCAUCGGAUCGCGUCCAUAAAUAUGUCUUUAACUGU
Molecule: unclassified non-coding RNA, 270 nt
Filed under: Glomus sp.
Lineage: Eukaryota; Fungi; Glomeromycota; Glomeromycetes; Glomerales; Glomeraceae
Description: partial contains 5.8S ribosomal RNA and internal transcribed spacer 2
Rfam family: 5.8S ribosomal RNA (bases 1-65)
Source: RNAcentral